RNAcentral lists this ribosomal RNA (440 nucleotides) under uncultured bacterium. Its description in RNAcentral is "partial 16S ribosomal RNA". It matches the Rfam family "Bacterial small subunit ribosomal RNA", at positions 338 to 795 of the family's 1533-position model. The record is from RNAcentral.
CCUACGGGUGGCAGCAGUGGGGAAUAUUGCACAAUGGGGGAAACCCUGAUGCAGCGACGCCGCGUGAGUGAAGAAGUAUUUCGGUACGUAAAGCUCUAUCAGCAGGGAAGAAAAUGACGGUACCUGACUAAGAAGCCCCGGCUAACUACGUGCCAGCAGCCGCGGUAAUACGUAGGGGGCAAGCGUUAUCCGGAUUUACUGGGUGUAAAGGGAGAGUAGGCGGCAGGGCAAGUCUGGAGUGAAAUGACAUGGCUUAACCAUGGAACUGCUGUGGAAACUGUGCAGCUAGAGUGCAGGAGAGGUAAGCGGAAUUCGUAGUGUAGCGGUGAAAUGCGUAGAUAUUAGGAGGAACACCAGUGGCGAAGGCGACUUACUGGACUGUAACUGACGUUGAGGCUCGAAAGCGUGGGGAGCAAACAGGAUUAGAUACCCUAGUAGUC